GAGUAGGGCGGGACACGUGGUAUCCUGUCUGAAUAUGGGGGGACCAUCCUCCAAGGCUAAAUACUCCUGACUGACCGAUAGUGAACCAGUACCGUGAGGGAAAGGCGAAAAGAACCCCGGCGAGGGGAGUGAAAAAGAACCUGAAACCGUGUACGUACAAGCAGUGGGAGCACGCUUAGGCGUGUGACUGCGUACCUUUUGUAUAAUGGGUCAGCGACUUAUAUUCUGUAGCAAGGUUAACCGAAUAGGGGAGCCGAAGGGAAACCGAGUCUUAACUGGGCGUUAAGUUGCAGGGUAUAGACCCGAAACCCGGUGAUCUAGCCAUGGGCAGGUUGAAGGUUGGGUAACACUAACUGGAGGACCGAACCGACUAAUGUUGAAAAAUUAGCGGAUGACUUGUGGCUGGGGGUGAAAGGCCAAUCAAACCGGGAGAUAGCUGGUUCUCCCCGAAAGCUAUUUAGGUAGCGCCUCGUGAAUUCAUCUCCGGGGGUAGAGCACUGUUUCGGCAAGGGGGUCAUCCCGACUUACCAACCCGAUGCAAACUGCGAAUACCGGAGAAUGUUAUCACGGGAGACACACGGCGGGUGCUAACGUCCGUCGUGAAGAGGGAAACAACCCAGACCGCCAGCUAAGGUCCCAAAGUCAUGGUUAAGUGGGAAACGAUGUGGGAAGGCCCAGACAGCCAGGAUGUUGGCUUAGAAGCAGCCAUCAUUUAAAGAAAGCGUAAUAGCUCACUGGUCGAGUCGGCCUGCGCGGAAGAUGUAACGGGGCUAAACCAUGCACCGAAGCUGCGGCAGCGACGCUUAUGCGUUGUUGGGUAGGGGAGCGUUCUGUAAGCCUGCGAAGGUGUGCUGUGAGGCAUGCUGGAGGUAUCAGAAGUGCGAAUGCUGACAUAAGUAACGAUAAAGCGGGUGAAAAGCCCGCUCGCCGGAAGACCAAGGGUUCCUGUCCAACGUUAAUCGGGGCAGGGUGAGUCGACCCCUAAGGCGAGGCCGAAAGGCGUAGUCGAUGGGAAACAGGUUAAUAUUCCUGUACUUGGUGUUACUGCGAAGGGGGGACGGAGAAGGCUAUGUUGGCCGGGCGACGGUUGUCCCGGUUUAAGCGUGUAGGCUGGUUUUCCAGGCAAAUCCGGAAAAUCAAGGCUGAGGCGUGAUGACGAGGCACUACGGUGCUGAAGCAACAAAUGCCCUGCUUCCAGGAAAAGCCUCUAAGCAUCAGGUAACAUCAAAUCGUACCCCAAACCGACACAGGUGGUCAGGUAGAGAAUACCAAGGCGCUUGAGAGAACUCGGGUGAAGGAACUAGGCAAAAUGGUGCCGUAACUUCGGGAGAAGGCACGCUGAUAUGUAGGUGAAGUCCCUUGCGGAUGGAGCUGAAAUCAGUCGAAGAUACCAGCUGGCUGCAACUGUUUAUUAAAAACACAGCACUGUGCAAACACGAAAGUGGACGUAUACGGUGUGACGCCUGCCCGGUGCCGGAAGGUUAAUUGAUGGGGUCAGCGCAAGCGAAGCUCUUGAUCGAAGCCCCGGUAAACGGCGGCCGUAACUAUAACGGUCCUAAGGUAGCGAAAUUCCUUGUCGGGUAAGUUCCGACCUGCACGAAUGGCGUAAUGAUGGCCAGGCUGUCUCCACCCGAGACUCAGUGAAAUUGAACUCGCUGUGAAGAUGCAGUGUACCCGCGGCAAGACGGAAAGACCCCGUGAACCUUUACUAUAGCUUGACACUGAACAUUGAGCCUUGAUGUGUAGGAUAGGUGGGAGGCUUUGAAGUGUGGACGCCAGUCUGCAUGGAG
Molecule: ribosomal RNA, 1790 nt
Filed under: Shigella sonnei
Lineage: Bacteria; Pseudomonadati; Pseudomonadota; Gammaproteobacteria; Enterobacterales; Enterobacteriaceae
Description: bacterial LSU rRNA
Rfam family: Bacterial large subunit ribosomal RNA
Source: RNAcentral